UUCAGCAACAGAAUCACUGACAGAACAGGUCUAGAAGGAGAUCAUCACAAACUAAACAGGACCCCAAUGGCCAUGAACAGCAGAACCCGCUUAACUGCUGCCUGAAACGUAUUCAAAGAGAUGAAAGUACAGAAGAGUUCUAGCCUAAAGCCCAACAGCAACCGUGGAGAGUCCAGGAACCAACUCAUCAGCCCUGUCAGAGCUCAUCAAAGAUGAGAUGUCUUCCAAUUGUGAAAUCAGCUCAGCACAGAAGAGAUGAGCGUGUGUACUACUUUCCAAAAGAGGAAGUGGAUUCAGAAAACUACUUAUUUUGAUGGGAACACUCUGCUGGUAACGGAAGAACCUCAAGUGAUCAUGAGCACAGCUUCAAUAAACACACUGCACGUGCAGCCCCUCCCAGGUGCUGGCAGGCCACCGGGCACACGGACAGCCCACCCCAAGGGAAGAAUCAGGAGAGAAGUAAUGCAACCCCCUGGAAGCAUGCCAAUGUAUACAACCCCAAGUCAAAGGUCAAAUCGUCAUGCACUUGAAUCUCUCAAGUCGCCCACUUGGCUCUCUUCCAAGUGUACUUUAC
This 574-nucleotide long non-coding RNA is filed under the name Homo sapiens (human). Its description in RNAcentral is "HSALNT0332798". Lineage: Eukaryota; Metazoa; Chordata; Mammalia; Primates; Hominidae. The record is from RNAcentral.